GAACGCUGGCGGCGUGCCUAACACAUGCAAGUCGAACGGAGUGAAGGAGCUUGCUCUUUCAUUUAGUGGCGCACGGGUGAGUAACGCGUAGAUAAUCUGCCUUGGACUCUGGGAUAACAUCUCGAAAGGGGUGCUAAUACCGGAUAAGCCCAGAUGGCGUAAGUCAUUGCGGGAAAAGGGGGCCUCUGAAUAUGCUCCUGAUUCAAGAUGAGUCUGCGUACCAUUAGCUAGUUGGUAGGGUAAGAGCCUACCAAGGCGACGAUGGUUAGCUGGUCUGAGAGGAUGAUCAGCCACACUGGAACUGAGACACGGUCCAGACUCCUACGGGAGGCAGCAGUGGGGAAUUUUGCGCAAUGGGGGAAACCCUGACGCAGCAACGCCGCGUGAGUGAUGAAGGCUUUCGGGUCGUAAAGCUCUGUCUAGAGGGAAGAAAUGAUAGUCGGUUAAUACCCGGUUUUCUUGACGGUACCUCUGAAGGAAGCACCGGCUAACUCCGUGCCAGCAGCCGCGGUAAUACGGAGGGUGCAAGCGUUGUUCGGAUUUAUUGGGCGUAAAGCGCGUGUAGGCGGUUUGUUAAGU
RNAcentral lists this ribosomal RNA (579 nucleotides) under uncultured Geobacter sp. RNAcentral's name for it is "bacterial SSU rRNA". It matches the Rfam family "Bacterial small subunit ribosomal RNA", at positions 31 to 588 of the family's 1533-position model. Lineage: Bacteria; Pseudomonadati; Thermodesulfobacteriota; Desulfuromonadia; Geobacterales; Geobacteraceae. The record is from RNAcentral.